CCUACGGGAGGCAGCAGUAGGGAAUAUUGGGCAAUGGAGGCAACUCUGACCCAGCCAUGCCGCGUGCAGGAUGAAGGCGUUAUGCGUUGUAAACUGCUUUUAUAUAGGAAGAAAUAGACCUUGCGAGGUAAGUUGACGGUACUAUAUGAAUAAGCACCGGCUAACUCCGUGCCAGCAGCCGCGGUAAUACGGAGGGUGCAAGCGUUGUCCGGAUUUAUUGGGUUUAAAGGGUGCGUAGGCGGUUUAUUAAGUCAGUGGUGAAAGACGGUCGCUCAACGAUUGCAGUGCCAUUGAUACUGGUAGACUUGAGUGUGAUUGAGGUAGCUGGAAUGGAUAGUGUAGCGGUGAAAUGCAUAGAUAUUAUCCAGAACACCAAUUGCGUAGGCAAGUUACUAAGUCACAACUGACGCUGAGGCACGAAAGUGUGGGUAUCAAACAGGAUUAGAUACCCUGGUAGUCCACACUGUAAACGAUGAUAACUAACUGUUGGCUUUUAGGGUCAGCGGUACAGAGAAAUCGUUAAGUUAUCCACCUGGGGAGUACGCCGGCAACGGUGAAACGUCAAAUGAAAUUGACGG
RNAcentral lists this ribosomal RNA (578 nucleotides) under uncultured bacterium. Its description in RNAcentral is "bacterial SSU rRNA". It matches the Rfam family "Bacterial small subunit ribosomal RNA", at positions 338 to 916 of the family's 1533-position model. The record is from RNAcentral.